Molecule: non-coding RNA, 159 nt
Organism: Pelobates cultripes (western spadefoot toad)
Lineage: Eukaryota; Metazoa; Chordata; Amphibia; Anura; Pelobatidae
Source: the annotation of a GenBank genome assembly
AUGCCUCAUCUACAAUCAGCAGCAGACCCUCCCUCCCAGACUCUCCCACCUCCUGGACAGCAUCCAUUUUACAUUCAUUGUGAAGCUGCAUUCUUAGUGAGCUGUCCAGGAGGUGGGAGGGUCUGGGAGGGAGGGUCUGCUGCUGAUUGGCUGGAAUGU